RNAcentral lists this unclassified non-coding RNA (140 nucleotides) under fungal sp. Its description in RNAcentral is "partial internal transcribed spacer region". The stretch from base 1 to 46 matches the Rfam family "Eukaryotic small subunit ribosomal RNA", at positions 1786 to 1831 of the family's 1831-position model. The record is from RNAcentral. Lineage: Eukaryota; Fungi.
AAGUCGUAACAAGGUUUCCGUAGGUGAACCUGCGGAAGGAUCAUUGGAAGGGGAAGGGGGAGAGAGUUGGAAUGAGAAGAAUACAAACAAUAUUUAUCAAACAACAACAACAACUGCUGACAAUGGAUCUCUGGGCUCUU